GAUGUUAGCGGCGGACGGGUGAGUAACACGUGGGUAACCUGCCUGUAAGACUGGGAUAACUCCGGGAAACCGGGGCUAAUACCGGAUGGUUGUUUGAACCGCAUGGUUCAAACAUAAAAGGUGGCUUCGGCUACCACUUACAGAUGGACCCGCGGCGCAUUAGCUAGUUGGUGAGGUAACGGCUCACCAAGGCAACGAUGCGUAGCCGACCUGAGAGGGUGAUCGGCCACACUGGGACUGAGACACGGCCCAGACUCCUACGGGAGGCAGCAGUAGGGAAUCUUCCGCAAUGGACGAAAGUCUGACGGAGCAACGCCGCGUGAGUGAUGAAGGUUUUCGGAUCGUAAAGCUCUGUUGUUAGGGAAGAACAAGUACCGUUCGAAUAGGGCGGUACCUUGACGGUACCUAACCAGAAAGCCACGGCUAACUACGUGCCAGCAGCCGCGGUAAUACGUAGGUGGCAAGCGUUGUCCGGAAUUAUUGGGCGUAAAGGGCUCGCAGGCGGUUUCUUAAGUCUGAUGU
Molecule: ribosomal RNA, 522 nt
Filed under: Bacillus tequilensis
Lineage: Bacteria; Bacillati; Bacillota; Bacilli; Caryophanales; Bacillaceae
Description: bacterial SSU rRNA
Rfam family: Bacterial small subunit ribosomal RNA
Source: RNAcentral